AUUCUGAUGACGAAACUGCGAAUGGCUCGGUAAAACAGCAAUAAUUUCUUCGAUGGUAACUUACUAUACG
This 70-nucleotide ribosomal RNA is filed under the name Lithothamnion sp. 61-161. RNAcentral's name for it is "partial 18S ribosomal RNA". Lineage: Eukaryota; Rhodophyta; Florideophyceae; Hapalidiales; Hapalidiaceae. The record is from RNAcentral.